Molecule: ribosomal RNA, 253 nt
Filed under: uncultured bacterium
Lineage: Bacteria
Description: partial 16S ribosomal RNA
Rfam family: Bacterial small subunit ribosomal RNA
Source: RNAcentral
UACGAAGGGGGCUAGCGUUGCUCGGAAUCACUGGGCGUAAAGGGCGUCUAGGCGGUUCGGUAAGUGGGAUGUGAAAUGCCCGGGCUCACCCCGGGACCUGCAUCCCAAACUGCUGAGCUUGAGUACAGGAGAGGGUAGGGGAAUUCCAGGUGUAGCGGUGAAAUGCGUAGAUAUCUGGAGGAACCCCGGUGGCGAAGGCGCCUACCUGGCCUGUUACUGACGCUGAAGCGCGAAAGCUAGGGGAGCAAACGGG